RNAcentral lists this long non-coding RNA (5641 nucleotides) under Capsella rubella. Its description in RNAcentral is "long non-coding RNA (CRUB_LNC005125)". Lineage: Eukaryota; Viridiplantae; Streptophyta; Magnoliopsida; Brassicales; Brassicaceae. The record is from RNAcentral.
GUUUCAUUAGAGCAUAAAAGUUUCAACUAAGAACACUAGUGUAUCUUCUGAGUGCUGACAUUAAAGUAGCUAAAACCACAGUUCUGAUGUGACCUUUUCUAGCAAACGCCAAAUAAACCAAGUGAUAAUUGCUGUCCGCAUUCAUCUAUAUGACGAUUGAAACAUUUCAUGAGUCUGAUUUUUAUUUGCCAUAUGGUGCGAUAUAAUGAUCAGCUAGCUGCAGUGGCUGCACUCUGUGUGCAAUAUGAGGCAAAUUUUAGACCAAACAUGAGCAUUGUGGUGAAGGCACUUCAACCUCUUUUAAACCCUCCUCGUUCUGCUCCUCAGACUCCACAUAGGAACCCCUAUUGAUCAAAUAUACAAUCCCCAUCUCAUCUUAUUCAUGAUGAUUAAUCAAAGUGUAUUAUACAUUUGUUCUGUAUUUGUGUAAAUUUCUGGGACCUUAUCUCAGUAACUCUUCUGUCAAGUCCCACAUGUGAAGAGCUAUGUAUGUCUCUAUGUCACUAUAGUUUAUGUUUUCUGUGAUUUAGUUUGUGUGGGGAGAACCAAAUUUUGUUUGUUUGUUGUAAAUUUAUGUUUUAAAAAAAAAAAAAAUUUCUUAAUACUGAUACUACAUUAUUUAGAUGAUGUUUUGCCACAAGUCUAGAUGAUUGGAAUUUGCAAUACACAUCAAAACAAACCAUAAGCUUGUUAUGUCUCUCAUAUCUCGAACAAAAACUUCUCAAACAGUUUCAUGUGUUCAGGUUGGAGGGCAAUGGCCAAGGAUAAGCUGCCAUCAUUUGUAGGACUUGGUAGCACAAAAGACAAACCCUCGUAUGCAAUUGCACCAGGUCCAACAUAUAUGGGACGACCCCAACCAAAGUCUGCAUCAUACAUGGGUAAUCUGGCCCAGCUUGUGAUUCCCAAGUUUGGGGAUUUGUAGGUCUGUGCACCGCGGACCAGUGCUGACAGAUCAGGCUGCAUCUCAAGGUAGUCAAGAGCAGACCUCAGGUAGCUAUCGUCCAUGCUAGCUAUAGCAUCAUGAAUGAUCCCUGCAGCAUACGAUGUUGGCUUUGAUAGAAGAUCCCCUACAACAGUCAAUGGUGCCGCAGCAAAGACCACAUUGCCAAAGAAACCAGGGGGCAGCUGCGGACGAAACCUAGACCUUCCAUCAGUUGCAAUGUACAGCUUGGUCUCUUGGUCGUCUGGAAGUCCGCGAGCUUUGCCCACUGAUCUCCACACGUGGGCAGCCAAGACCUCGUAUGAGCUAUAGCUUAGAGUGUUCUCCUGAUUGGAUUUAGCCUUAAGAGAAACAAGCAGGUCGCGUGAUAUUUUGAAAAUAGACACUGUGGUAUCAUCAGGGACUGGUUUGGAUGACAGGAUCCUCAUACUAGGGGAAGGCUGAUAUUCAACAUGAUGAAAAGCAGCCUGAGGCGGGUAUCUAGCGCGGAGGAGAGUUCGGUCAAUGAAGGGUUGAAUGGUAAGGUCAAGACCACGGGCCAUAUCAGACCAUGUAUUGAUAAAAUGGAGAGCAGAGAAACCAUCAGCCACGUGGUGUUGCAUUCCAACCCCAAGGGAAGCUCCCCCACAUUUGAAGAAGGUCACCUACUACAUCAAGGAACUAGGGUCAAGCUAAGCUAAAUUAAAGAAAGACAAGUAGAAACCUAAAACACAAGGCACCGCUUAGUUAGUAUGCUAUGUAUAAAGAGGUUUGAAAAGGGAAAGAAUUUUUAAACCUGCAAGACGAGGAGCGGGAAAGUGUGGACGCCGAUGGAGUAAUCAACAUGGGGAAUAAGCAGGCCGAGAGUGGGUGUAGGAGCAAAGUCCCCAAAAUCGUCAAUGGCAGAGGGAGUAUCAGCAACGACGAAGAGAACACCCGCACCGUUGCAAUCAAUCUCGAUACGACCAUCAUCGUCCUUCUUCAAGCGACCAGCCACGGGGUAAAAGGGGACGAGAGCCUUGGAAAGAGCGUCCUUGAGGACCUGAGGGUCAAAGAAACUGGAGUCGCCGGUUGGUCUGUAGAAGUAGACGCUAGGGGUGUGGUACUUAGCCAUGAUGAGGUCAACGUUAGAGUUCCAAAGACUAGUGAUUGGGGUCUCGGCAGCAGGACGGACCAUGGUGGAAUCUUGGAUCUUAAUUUUCAUAGUAUUGUUACAAAGAUCAAGCAGAGAAAGAGUUUAUGUUUUGACUCUGAGCCGAGAAAUUGUGUAAAUAUAUAAUAAGUGGGUGUGGUGGUAUUGUAAACUUCGGCGCUUCUUCAUCACUCGGUCGUUAUAUAUUUUUCUUUCUAUAUUAUUAUUGAUCAGCCGCCCAAACAAUACAAAAUGUUGUCUAUCCAUCCAAAUCUAAAUCAUAUUUUAAAGGAAAGUUCACUAAAAUAUAUUUGAAGUCUUUAAAAAGUGUUAAACGUUAGGUAAAUUUAAAACUAAAUGACAUAUUUUUAUGUUUGAUGUUCAUCUAGUGGUGAUAGAAACAAAACAGCUAUAGCCAUAAUUGGAGAUAAGAACCACCUGCAUCGAAGGAGCUUUAAUUUAGUGGUAAUUCUUGGGGGGUGGCGACGAUGCUAUGCGGCGCGCCUUGAGAACCCAUGAGCUCUCUCGUCCGUUUUAAUACUUUGGUUGUUUGGGAGAUGUUGACUAUAAUUCAUUGAAGGAGUCUUUUAAGUUCAUGACCAAUGUUAGUAGACUUGUUCCAAGUUAGUACCAACAACGGCGACAUUGUCAUCUAAUUAUUUAAAAAUUGGUUGACAAAUCAUUAGACAUUUUCAUAAUUCUCAUCUAAGAGGGUAACACAAACAUAAAAAAAUUCAACGUUCAUCAUAGAAUUUUGUUUUUUCUCUCUUUCGAAGUUUUAAUUUCUUCAGUUCUGAUAUGAACAUUACAUGUAUGUGAAUUUUUGCUGAUUACCAUAAUUCUGGUUGUGUGUAUAUAUAUAGCUCAAGUUUCCUGAGUCAAACCAUUUUGUCCAUUACAAAAUGAAACAAGAUGAUCCGAUAUUGUUCUUUUGGAAAACAGUUUUGUAGCUUUUGUUUUGGUAGAGAGAUCAUAAGAUCACUGAUCUUACGGUCUUACCACUUUACUCUCUUUUCUUAGAUAGCCGAAUUUUCUUUCGAAACUGUUUGUUGUCUCUAUAUAACAAAUGUUUAUUUUUUUAUACAAAAUAUAUAAGUUAAUGGGAUUAAAUUGUUUUAUAAGAGGUUACAACGGACGCCACCAUCAAAGAACAGAUUCAUUCAUGAACCAGCUAGUUGUUAGUCACACGCAGCCUAUUGCUGCACUAGCCAUUCCAGUGGAUGAGUUGAAUGAUUUAACCGAUAACUUUAGUUCAGAGGCAUUAAUCGGUGAAGGUUCAAACGGUAGAGUGUUUUACGGUGUUCUUAAAAGCGGUAAAGCAGCUGCCAUCAAGAAACUUGACCAUAGUCACCAGCCAGAUCAUGUAUUUCUUUCUCAGGUAGAUACUAUAAAAUUAAAGUACAUUAUUUCAGUUUUUAAGGGUCUCUUCAUCACCGAAAAGAAUUGAACAUAGACCGUAUGUGUCAUUUGUUAAAUGAUCUAGCAUCAAACCAUUUCUUUGGAAAUGUUCUGUCAACUUUUAAUUGUCAAUGAUAUAGAGAAAAUUCUAACAGGUAUCAAUGGUUUCAAGAUUUCAACACGACAAUAUUGUUGCACUAAUGGGUUAUUGCGUUGAUGGCCCUCUUCAUGUUCUUGCUUUUGAAUAUGCUCCUAAUGGAUCUUUUCAUGAUAUUCUUCAUGGUGAGUGGUUUAUGUAAUCCAUAUUACAUUUCUUGGAAAUGGAUCAGUCACUCAAUAGUUAUACAUCUGAACACUAAUAUACAAGAGAACAUAAACUAUGCAAUGCAUGUGGUGUCUCUUUCCGUGGUACAGGUCGAAAAGGUGUCAAAGGAGCACCACGAGGUCCUGUUUUGACGUGGCAACAAAGAGUCAAAAUCGCUGUUGGUGCAGCCAGAGGACUCGAGUACUUGCAUAAGAAGGUUAACCCUCAGGUCAUCUACCGAGACAUCAAAUCCAGCAACAUACUUGUGUUCGACGAUGAUGUUUCCAAGGUUGCUGAUUUGGAUAUGUCUGAUAAAGUCAUUGACAUGGCUGCUCACUUCUACUCAACCGGUUGUGUGAUAGUAGGAAGCUUUGGUCAUAGGGCUCCAGAGUAGAUAUUUUUAUUUUAUCAAUUCUGAUCAUUCAUAGUGGUGUUUUGUCUACACGUCUUCUUUAAAAAUUUUGGGUUAUUUAUUUCAGAUACACACUGACAGGAACAUUGAGCACAAAGAGUGACGUGUACUGUUUUGGCAUUGUUCUGCUGGAACUCCUUACAGGUCGAAAAGAUAUUGAUUUCACCUUACCGCCUGGAGAGAUGAGUCUAGAGAGAUGGGUAGUGUUUAGUGCAUCUUUUCUUUCUUCUUUUGAUUCUUGUUUGCUUGCAUAAACAACAUCCAAAACCUCAUAUAGAGCACUUAUAGCCUAAAAUUUUGAAGAUUAGGUUGUUCCAACAACCAAAGAAACCGGAAAAAAAUAUUACUCCCUCGGUACCUAAAAGAUAAUUUUUCUAGGUUUUUCAUACAUAUUAAGAAAACAUCUAAUUAAAAAUUGAUGAAAGAGAACUAUAUCAUUUUUUGUGAUUCACCGCUUUUUUUAACUCUUAACCAAUAGUAUUUAGUUAUUUACCUUGAAAUUUGUAAAUUCUAAUUAAUAACGCAUUGAUAACUUAAAACAAUAAUCUUUUUGAAACGAAAUUUUUCACUAUUAGGAACAAAGAGUGAUUAGUAAGAAAAUGAAAUAUGUUGAUUAAUCAUCAAGAUGUUAUGUGUUGUCUUAGGCAAUCCCAAAAAUAAGCAAAAACAAAGUGGAGCAAUGCGUUGAUCCAAGGCUACUCGGAGAGUACCCUCCUGAAGCUGCUGGCAAGGUACUUAAUCCAAUAACACUGAUUUUUCCUCUUAUUGUUUCAUUGGAGCAUUAGAGAUUUAACUUAGUUUAUCUGCUGACAUUAGAAUCAAAGUAGCGAGAUCACAUUCACAUCAAAACAUUUUCAUGAGUCUGAUUUUGUUUGCUAUAUAGAUAUGGUGGGCCGGGAUAUAAUGGUCAGCUAGCCGCGAUGGCUGCACGCUGUGUGCGUAUUGAUCCAGAUUCUAGACCAGACAUGAGCAUUGUGGUGGAGUCACUAGAAUCUCUUUUAAAACCUCCUCGUUGAGCUCAUCAGAUCUCAAAAUAGGAAACUCUAUUGAUCAAAUAUAAUAUCCAAUCCUCAUCUCAUCAGCUUCAUGAUGAUUAAUCAAAGUGUAUUAUUUGAUUUGUAGUAAAUUCACUAAUACUACAUUUUGAUUGAGAUGGUGUUUUGCUACAUUUCUAUAUAUUAUAGUACCUAUGGUUCUACUUCUAUAUUUGUAUAUAUCACCCGCCUUUUGAGGCUACCUCAUAUUUGUGUUAGAUAAUUUGGUAGAUAGCAAUAAUUAAUAAUUAGUAGUAUUUUCUUAAGUAAAUGAUAAGUUCUCGACUUUAUGUUAGCAAAUGACAAAAAUGAAUUGUAAAAAACUUGGAAUAAAAUUUAAUGCAUUAUUGAUGGUGAGAAUGUAAAAGAUAAUGUUUUUAAACCAAACAUGAGCAUCCUCGUCAAGGCACUUCAACCUCUUUUAAACCCUCCUCGUUCUGCU